Bradyrhizobium sp. BTAi1 is the source of this 103-nucleotide non-coding RNA. NCBI's taxonomy places the organism in Bacteria, Pseudomonadati, Pseudomonadota, Alphaproteobacteria, Hyphomicrobiales, Nitrobacteraceae. The record is from Rfam.
GGGAGCGGUGAUCCCUCUCCCCAAAGCUAUAUAAGGCGCGAGCGCCCAUCCACCCCAAGCGCCCAUAUGGCUCGAGCCGUCCGGUUGUCCCCCCGGACGGCUC